This is a non-coding RNA of Salvia hispanica, 1809 nucleotides long. The record is from RefSeq and is a predicted model, not a curated record. Lineage: Eukaryota; Viridiplantae; Streptophyta; Magnoliopsida; Lamiales; Lamiaceae.
AUUCGGAAGAGAGAAAAAAGUAUGAGUAUGAGACGACGAUUUAUAUUUUGUAAUAAGGCGGGGGGAGGAAGAAAGAUGAACAGUGGUGCUUCGUCUAUGCCGAAUCGCUUUAUCCAGCGUUUCACUCCUUCCUUUUCUUUUUCUUCUUCUUCCUCUUCUCCGCGCUCAGUUGGUCUGAAUAUCAACAAGCACAAUAAUGGCGACAAUUAUCCUCUCAGCUCUCCCCAUUCAAAUAUCAAUCAGAGUGCUUCCACUACUGCCGAUGUCAAUCCCCAACCUAAUGUCUUCCAACUCAUCCAAGCUCACCAGGAGCUUUUAGCAAGUCCCCAGUGCUCGUUGCUUGUGUCGAAAGAUCCUGAGGAUAGGAACGACCUAGUUAUUGUAGUGCACGGCUGUUGCUGAAACUGAAAAGGAAGCUAUCCGUAGUGCAUAUUUGGCUAGACAUCCUGAGGCUUUCUGGGUCGACUUUGGUGACUUCCAAUUUCUUCAAGUUGUUAGAUAUGUGUCGGGUGUUGCAACAGGAUCAGGAGAAUUCAGCAAGGAGGAAUUCAGAAGAGCAAAAGUGGAUCCUGUAUAUCAAUUCUCAAAGCCUACAACGGUAUGACCAACCAUAUCUACAGUAGCACACUUUAAUACUUCCCACAUGAAUAAAGAUCAUGCAGAUGAGACAAAGCUGAUAGUCCAGCACUAUACCUCCGUACAGGUGGAAUUCGCAGACAUGUUGGACAUAGCGUGAAGGCUGGUUGUCAAGGCAGCAUUUUCAAGCUCCGAAUUCCUUUCACGAGGCGUGCUACAGAUAGAACGUGAGCACUCAUAUUUCACUUACAUUGUGGAUAUGGAGAUAAUUGAGAUGAUGAGUAAAUUUGGAAGCUAACACUCAUCUCCAGUUUCAUUUAUUAUGUCAUAUAAUAGUGUGUUAAUGUUUGUAGAAAUGAUUGAAGCUGCCAAAACUGCUAACACUCACUCUCCCGCUGCAUGAUCUUCAUGCUUAUUAAUAAAUUUCACAAUUUUUUUAAACACUCCCGUACCAUCUUGGUCAAGUAAAUUAGCAAUAAAACAAGUACAAUCAUUGGAUUUAGGAGGCCUGUUAGGAUUUGGUGCGUGUAAAUGACAAAUACAUUAGUUUUUUUCAUGAUUUGUAUGGGUAAAUAUAGCUAAAGUAAAAAAAAAGUUAGAAAUAGUUUAGAUCACAUAAAUAAGCUAGUUGAAAGCGAGAAAUUAACGUUUGAAUAAGUGUAAAAAACUAUAUUGGCCACUUCAAUUUUGGCUGGUGUGAGGCGAAGGAAUCGGCGACAAGUGUAUGGCAGCUCCUAUUUUUCUCCAUUCAGUUUUAAGUUUUAACAUAUUCGACCACUCUUUGGAUAUAUAUACACCCUACUUGCUUGCAUACACUUAUCAGCAGAAAUCAGAUAAACACCAAAAAAAAGAGUUAAGAAUAAUCAAGAUGGCAUUGAAGAUGAAGGUCGCUGUGUUGGCAGCUGUGGUGGUGGCCGCAUUGUUCCAAAACGUGGCAGUGUCGACUGAGGCAAUGGCUCCAGCACCGGGACCCUCGGCCGUGGCUACCCCUUUGCUACCGGCUGCGCUGGCUUCCUGUGCUGCAGCGGCCUUUGGAAUGCUAUUUUGAUCAAACUUAAUUUCUUCAUGUUUCAUAGCAUUAGUAGUGAUUUACUUUAGUAACUAGAAGAGUAUGUUUUGUUUGGGUGGAUGAGGAUUUAAAUUUGAAUUUAGUCACAAAAAUGUGAAUUCUCUCUAUGCGUCUCUUUCGUACCUCAUUUAUAUAUAUGCAAAUCCAAUUGUCAUUGAUUAUUU